AACGGUAGAGGUUGCGCCAAUCAUUAUUAAGAAGUCGGAUGUGCCGUACACAGAUGAAGGCUUAAGAAAGGGUGAGGCGCCGAAGGAACGGUUUUUACGGAAGAUCGGAUCCUGGGCAUACGAUUAACAGUUGUAUGACUGUCAUCCCGAAAGGGAUGGGGAGCUAUCAA
RNAcentral lists this non-coding RNA (170 nucleotides) under bovine gut metagenome. Its description in RNAcentral is "Lysine riboswitch". It matches the Rfam family "Lysine riboswitch aptamer". From Rfam's summary of the family: Riboswitches are metabolite binding domains within certain messenger RNAs that serve as precision sensors for their corresponding targets. The record is from RNAcentral.